AGUGAACGCUGGCGGUAGGCCUAACACAUGCAAGUCGAACGGCAGCACAGUAAGAGCUUGCUCUUACGGGUGGCGAGUGGCGGACGGGUGAGGAAUACAUCGGAAUCUACUUUUUCGUGGGGGAUAACGUAGGGAAACUUACGCUAAUACCGCAUACGACCUACGGGUGAAAGCAGGGGAUCUUCGGACCUUGCGCGAUUGAAUGAGCCGAUGUCGGAUUGGCUAGUUGGCGGGGAAAAGGCCCACCAAGGCGACGAUCCGUAGCUGGUCUGAGAGGAUGAUCAGCCACACUGGAACUGGAACACGGUCCAGACUCCUACGGGAGGCAGCAGUGGGGAAUAUUGGACAAAGGGCGCAAGCCUGAUCCAGCCAUACCGCGUGGGUGAAGAAGGCCUUCGGGUUGUAAAGCCCUUUUGUUGGGAAAGAAAAGCAGCAGGUUAAUACCCCGCUGUUCUGACGGUACCCAAAGAAUAAGCACCGGCUAACUUCGUG
RNAcentral lists this ribosomal RNA (492 nucleotides) under uncultured bacterium. Its description in RNAcentral is "partial 16S ribosomal RNA". It matches the Rfam family "Bacterial small subunit ribosomal RNA", at positions 29 to 507 of the family's 1533-position model. The record is from RNAcentral.